This 253-nucleotide ribosomal RNA is filed under the name uncultured bacterium. RNAcentral describes it as "partial 16S ribosomal RNA". It matches the Rfam family "Bacterial small subunit ribosomal RNA", at positions 524 to 776 of the family's 1533-position model. The record is from RNAcentral.
UACGGAGGGCGCAAGCGUUGUUCGGAAUUACUGGGCGUAAAGCGCGUGUAGGCGGUCUAGCAAGUCGGUUGUGAAAUCCCCGGGCUCAACCCGGGAACUGCAUCCGAAACUGCUGGGCUAGAGUUCCGGAGAGGAAGGCAGAAUUCCCAAUGUAGGGGUGAAAUCCGUAGAUAUUGGGAGGAAUACCAGUGGCGAAGGCGGCCUUCUGGACGGUGACUGACGCUGAGACGCGAAAGCGUGGGGAGCAAACAGG